AUACUUACCUGGACGGGGUCAAUGGGCGAUCAACAAGGCCCAUGGCCUAGGUUGAUGACUUCCAUUGCACUUUGGAAGGGUGUUAACCUAAGGUCUACCUUAAUGGUGGAGCCUACGUCAUAAUUUGUGAUAGAGGGGGGCCUGCGUUCGCGCGGCCCCUAC
RNAcentral lists this small nuclear RNA (162 nucleotides) under Ipomoea nil (Japanese morning glory). Its description in RNAcentral is "U1 spliceosomal RNA". It matches the Rfam family "U1 spliceosomal RNA". Rfam says of the family: U1 is a small nuclear RNA (snRNA) component of the spliceosome (involved in pre-mRNA splicing). Its 5' end forms complementary base pairs with the 5' splice junction, thus defining the 5' donor site of an intron. There are significant differences in sequence and secondary structure between metazoan and yeast U1 snRNAs, the latter being much longer (568 nucleotides as compared to 164 nucleotides in human). Lineage: Eukaryota; Viridiplantae; Streptophyta; Magnoliopsida; Solanales; Convolvulaceae. The record is from Rfam by way of RNAcentral.